RNAcentral lists this ribosomal RNA (285 nucleotides) under Escherichia coli. RNAcentral describes it as "partial 16S ribosomal RNA". It matches the Rfam family "Bacterial small subunit ribosomal RNA", at positions 1 to 280 of the family's 1533-position model. The record is from RNAcentral. Lineage: Bacteria; Pseudomonadati; Pseudomonadota; Gammaproteobacteria; Enterobacterales; Enterobacteriaceae.
UUAAAUUGAAGAGUUUGAUCAUGGCUCAGAUUGAACGCUGGCGGCAGGCCUAACACAUGCAAGUCGAACGGUAACAGGAAACAGCUUGCUGUUUCGCUGACGAGUGGCGGACGGGUGAGUAAUGUCUGGGAAACUGCCUGAUGGAGGGGGAUAACUACUGGAAACGGUAGCUAAUACCGCAUAACGUCGCAAGACCAAAGAGGGGGACCUUCGGGCCUCUUGCCAUCGGAUGUGCCCAGAUGGGAUUAGCUAGUAGGUGGGGUAACGGCUCACCUAGGCGACGAU